RNAcentral lists this long non-coding RNA (1385 nucleotides) under Coffea arabica (coffee). RNAcentral describes it as "long non-coding RNA (CARA_LNC001306)". Lineage: Eukaryota; Viridiplantae; Streptophyta; Magnoliopsida; Gentianales; Rubiaceae. The record is from RNAcentral.
AAAAUAGUAGUUGUAAUCUAAUGCACGCUAUUGGUCCAACUUUAUAGAGAAAGUCAGUCGAUACUUAUUUUUUGUUCUUUGCUAUUUAUACUUACCUUCCCUCACUUUUAUUAAUAUGUUUUUCAUUCCUUUACAAUACAACUUGUACACAAGCAUAAAGGGUAUUUGUGAAAUACAAGUUUUAUCUCAUUAAAGUCGCUUGGAACUCUAUACGCUUACGCUGGGACAUAUCUCAAGUAGAUCGUUUGGUUUGGAAUGGACUUGUCCCAUUGAAAAUAUCAUUCUAAUGCUUGGUGAUUAGUUCGCAAUCCGAUUCCCCUAGAGGUGACUCUCAAGAAAUUUGGAAUACCUUGCUGUCGGCUGCAGGAAGAAUCGUGGAGACAUCUGUUCAUUACAGGUCCAAUAGCUCUCCAGGCAUGGAUUUAUUUUCGGAGGAGAUUCGGUAUUAUUGAGUCUACAUUCUCGUCUGUCUCGUCUCUGUUACUCUCCUGGUUUUCCUCUAGCUCAGUGGGGGAGGUGAAACACAUUAGGGUGGUGGUUCCGGUGGUAGUGCUUUAGUGUCUAUGGAAAGCAAGAAAUAAUGCUCGGUUUGAGGGCACGAGAUUCGAGGUGGGUAACGUCAUUAUGAUGGUUGAACAAGUGGUCGAGCAGUUAGGCAAAGUAGGAGUGCUCUCGGCCACACACUUUAGGGGUGAUGCUGAAGAUCUAUGGGCGGAGUUAGCACCCCGCCUCAUUCGGAGAUGGCAUUAUGUUGCGGUUUCGUGGAAAUGUCCUCCGUCCCCUUUCUUUAAAUUGAAUACGGAUGUUAGUGUGGUCCAGGGGCGAGCAUCCGGGGGUGGUAUUCUUAGAGAUUCAAGUGGUCGAUUGGUAUUCGCUUUUUACAAGGAAUUCGGCGAAAAGGAGGUCCUAAAUUGCAGAGAGUUUGGCACUGCUUCAUGGUCUUCAAUUGUGUCAUGAACAGCAAAUCUAGAGGCUUCUAGUGGAAGUUGAUUCACAAGUGUUGGUUAAGUUGAUCCAUUUAGGGAGGGUGUCGAAGUGGACUUUAUGUAACAACCCGCGACAGAUACAACACUUAUUAGUCUCGUUGUCUUCUUCAGUGUCACACAUCUUUUGGGAGGCUAACUCUUGCUCUGAUAGGCUGGCAAAUUUGCGGUUGGCGUCUAACUUGUUCUGCAUGUCUCCUCAGCAACUGCCUAGUAUGGUAAGGGCAUAUGUACUGUUUGACUCUAGGGAACUCUCGUCGGUGCGUCAGCACUAUGUUAUAGAAUAGCCUUAGUAGUUGUGCACUAGAUAGCGGUGUGUUGAAAGACUCUCAGUGUAACAUUUACAUUCGGGCUAUGAAUAAAAUAUAAAGUUUUAAAAAAAGUUUUAUCUCUUUUCUCAAA